Molecule: long non-coding RNA, 631 nt
Filed under: Triticum aestivum (bread wheat)
Lineage: Eukaryota; Viridiplantae; Streptophyta; Magnoliopsida; Poales; Poaceae
Description: long non-coding RNA (TAES_LNC015390)
Source: RNAcentral
GAUUAUACCAAAUCAGUGAACGAAUAAAAUAACUACAAUUUGGAGCUUCAAGCAAAGCAAACAGUUAACUUAAUUCUCUAGUCGACGGACUAUGUUGUUACCUGAAGAAUCAUCCUCCCCCUGCUGUUAGUUCAGCACCUUGGCCCCUCGUUCUUGGAGCAGCAUCCGAUACCAAAUCUCCAACCUGGUAGCCAAUUCUGGUCAACAAAUAGUAGCAUAGGAUACUUCUACAACUAAUUUAAAAUCAGACAAGAAGACAUGCUUACUGCCAUGUUGGCGUAUAUGACACUGGAACCACUCAUGCGAGCAUUGUCUAGAUGUAUCUCUUUGGGUUUAAAACUGUGAAUUUCAGAGAUGCACUUCUCUGAAAGCAUAAAGAUGCCAUAUCAGACUCAACACUUGGCUCAACAAAUCAUACUGUUCGGUGCAAGUAUUCGUACUGCUUUCAUGUGCAAAUCCAAGUGAGAGUGGUAUAUUGGUAACCCAUAUCUGAGUUGAAAACGGGGAAACAGAAGUGUGAUUUUAGAGGUGAAUACCUUAUCCUCCAGCUCAUGGUCAGAUGCGUAUUAGGCGGCAGCAUCCUGCUCGUAGGUUGUGGCUCCUCUUCCACCUCCCUCUGCGGCCCGUUGCU